Molecule: non-coding RNA, 191 nt
Organism: Doryrhamphus excisus (bluestripe pipefish)
Lineage: Eukaryota; Metazoa; Chordata; Actinopteri; Syngnathiformes; Syngnathidae
Source: RefSeq, a predicted model, not a curated record
AUCGCUUCUCGGCCUUUUGGCUAAGAUCAAGUGUAGUAUCUGUUCUUAUCAGUUUAAUAUCUGAUACGUCCCCCAACAGGGGACUAAAUAUUAAAUUGCUUUUUGGAACAGGGAGCUGCGAUUGGGGCUUGCGCCAUCCGCUCCACGCAUCGACCUGGUAUUGCAGCGCUUCCAGGAACGGUGCACUUCUC